GGGGAAAAAGGGGGGACUCGUGAAGCUGGCGGCCGGCCUACACAUGAGGGUCGAGCGGAUGAAGGGAGCUUGCUCCCGGAUUUAGCGGCGGACGGGUGAGUAAUGCCUAGGAAUCUGCCUGGUAGUGGGGGAUAACGUUCCGAAAGGAACGCUAAUACCGCGUACGUCCUACGGGAGAAAGCAGGGGACCUUCGGGCCUUGCGCUAUCAGAUGAGCCUAGGUCGGAUUAGCUAGUUGGUGAGGUAAUGGCUCACCAAGGCGACGAUCCGUAACUGGGCGGAGAGGAUGAUCAGUCACACUGGAACUGAGACACGGUCCAGACUCCUACGGGAGGCAGCAGUGGGGAAUAUUGGACAAUGGGCGAAAGCCUGAUCCAGCCAUGCCGCGUGUGUGGAGAGGGUCUCCGGAUUGUAAGGAGAGUAGAGUUGGGAGGAAGGGCAGUAAGUUAAUACCUUGCUGUUUUGACGUUACCGACAGAAUAAGCACCGGCUAACUUCGUGCCAGCAGCCGCGGUAA
RNAcentral lists this ribosomal RNA (516 nucleotides) under Ectopseudomonas oleovorans. Its description in RNAcentral is "bacterial SSU rRNA". It matches the Rfam family "Bacterial small subunit ribosomal RNA", at positions 35 to 523 of the family's 1533-position model. Lineage: Bacteria; Pseudomonadati; Pseudomonadota; Gammaproteobacteria; Pseudomonadales; Pseudomonadaceae. The record is from RNAcentral.